Molecule: ribosomal RNA, 440 nt
Filed under: uncultured bacterium
Lineage: Bacteria
Description: partial 16S ribosomal RNA
Rfam family: Bacterial small subunit ribosomal RNA
Source: RNAcentral
CCUACGGGUGGCAGCAGUGGGGGAUAUUGCACAAUGGGGGCAACCCUGAUGCAGCGACGCCGCGUGAGCGAUGGAGUACUUCGGUAUGUAAAGCUCUGUCAGCAGGGAAGAGAAUGACGGUACCUGACCAAGAAGCCCCGGCUAAAUACGUGCCAGCAGCCGCGGUAAUACGUAUGGGGCAAGCGUUAUCCGGAUUUACUGGGUGUAAAGGGAGCGUAGGCGGCAGGGCAAGCCUGAUGUGAAAGCCCGGGGCUCAACCUCGGUGCUACUACCAAAACUGUUGAACUUGAGUGCAGGAGGGGUGAAUGGAAUUCCCAGUGUAGCGGUGGAAUGCGUAGAUAUUGGGAAGAACACCAGCGGCGAAGGCGAUUCACUGGACUGUAACUGACACUGAGGCACGAAAGCGUGGGGAGCAAACAGGAUUAGAUACCCUAGUAGUC